GACAGAGGGUGCAAACGUUGCUCGGAAUUACUGGGCGUAAAGCGCGUGUAGGCGGGUUUCCAAGUCAGAUGUGAAAUCCCUGGGCUCAACCCAGGAACUGCAUUUGAAACUGGGAGUCUUGAGUAUCGGAGAGGAAAGUGGAAUUCCUGGUGUAGCGGUGAAAUGCGUAGAUAUCAGGAGGAACACCGGUGGUGUAGACGGCUUUCUGGACCGUAACUGACGCUGAGACACGAAAGCGUGGGUAGCAAACAGG
This 253-nucleotide ribosomal RNA is filed under the name uncultured bacterium. Its description in RNAcentral is "partial 16S ribosomal RNA". It matches the Rfam family "Bacterial small subunit ribosomal RNA", at positions 524 to 776 of the family's 1533-position model. The record is from RNAcentral.